UAAGGAAUAUUGGACAAUGGAGGCAACUCUGAUCCAGCCAUGCCGCGUGAAGGAAUAAGGCCCUAUGGGUUGUAAACUUCUUUUAGACGGGACAAAACCCCUUUACGUGUAAAGGGUUGAUGGUACUGUCAGAAUAAGCAUCGGCUAACUUCGUGCCAGCAGCCGCGGUAAUACGAAGGAUGCAAGCGUUAUCCGGAAUUAUUGGGUUUAAAGGGUGCGUAGGCGGACUAAUAAGUCAGUGGUGAAAGCCUGCAGCUUAACUGCAGAAUUGCCAUUAAUACUGUUAGUCUUGAGUACAGUUGAGGUAGGCGGAAUGUGUCAUGUAGCAGUGAAAUGCUUAGAUAUGACACAGAACACCGAUUGCGAAGGCAGCUUGCUAAGCUGUAACUGACGCUGAGG
RNAcentral lists this ribosomal RNA (399 nucleotides) under uncultured bacterium. Its description in RNAcentral is "bacterial SSU rRNA". It matches the Rfam family "Bacterial small subunit ribosomal RNA", at positions 355 to 751 of the family's 1533-position model. The record is from RNAcentral.